GCGGUCGUGGCGGAAUUGGCAGACGCGCAAGAUUCAGGUUCUUGUAGUCGCAAGGCUGUGGAGGUUCAAGUCCUCUCGACCGCA
RNAcentral lists this transfer RNA (84 nucleotides) under Heliophilum fasciatum. It matches the Rfam family "tRNA". Rfam says of the family: Transfer RNA (tRNA) molecules are approximately 80 nucleotides in length. Lineage: Bacteria; Bacillati; Bacillota; Clostridia; Eubacteriales; Heliobacteriaceae. The record is from Rfam by way of RNAcentral.